UACGGGGGGGGCAAGCGUUGUUCGGAAUUACUGGGCGUAAAGGGCUCGUAGGUGGCCAACUAAGUCAGACGUGAAAUCCCUCAGCUUAACUGGGGAACUGCGUCUGAUACUGGAUGGCUUGAGUUUGGGAGAGGGAUGCGGAAUUCCAGGUGUAGCGGUGAAAUGCUUAGAUAUCUGGAGGAACACCGGUGGCGAAGGCGGCAUCCUGGACCAACACUGACGCUGAGUGAGCGAAAGCCAGGGGAGCAAACGGG
RNAcentral lists this ribosomal RNA (254 nucleotides) under uncultured bacterium. Its description in RNAcentral is "partial 16S ribosomal RNA". It matches the Rfam family "Bacterial small subunit ribosomal RNA", at positions 524 to 776 of the family's 1533-position model. The record is from RNAcentral.